UGGCGCAACCGUGCAUAUGAUCGCCUCAAGCUGCAUCUCGCAAAGGAGUUCUGUGAGUUGCCACACAUGUCAUACCCUGUAGAUGCACCAACAUACAUACCAAAAACCUUGUUUGUGAAGUACUUGGAUGACUAUGUUGAGCGUUUCAACAUUCAACCAAAGUAUCUCACCAGCGUGGAGUCAUCCACAUAUGACAAUGAUGAAAAAUGUUGGUCCAUUGUGGCAACGGACAUGUCAAAGUGCACCACAGUCAAGUUCACGGCAAAGUUUCUUGUUGUGGCAAGUGGUGAGAAUAGUGCAGAGAAUAUUCCAAUGAUCCCUGGACUAGAAAACUUUCCAGGUGAUGUCAUCCACUCCUCAAGCUACAAGUCAGGCAAGAGCUACUCUGGCAAGAAUGUAUUGGUCGUUGGAUCUGGCAACUCCGGGAUGGAAAUUGCUUAUGACCUUGCGACCCAUGGUGCCAAUACAUCGAUUGUUAUACGAAGCCCGAUUCAUGUAAUGACAAAGGAAUUAAUUCGUUUGGGGAUGACACUUGCUCACCAUCUUCCAUUGAAUCUAGUGGAUAAACUCCUUGUGAUGGCAGCGUAUUUAAUAUUUGGAGACCUGUCACGACAUGGCAUCACAAGGCCAAAAAUGGGUCCAAUGACCCUCAAAUCAGAAACAGGCCGAUCUGCGGUGAUUGAUGUUGGGACUGUUGGAUUGAUCAAAAAAGGCAUCAUCAAAGUUCAGGGGAGCAUUAGUAAGAUCAAGGGCAACAUAGUUAAAUUUCAAUGCAGUAAAAGAAUCUCAUUUGAUGCGAUUGUGUUUGCAACUGGAUACAAAAGCACGGCAAAUAUAUGGCUCAAGAAUGGUGAGAGCAUGUUAAAUGGCAACGGACUGCCCAUCCAAAAAUAUCCGAAUCAUUGG
Molecule: ribosomal RNA, 906 nt
Filed under: Triticum aestivum (bread wheat)
Lineage: Eukaryota; Viridiplantae; Streptophyta; Magnoliopsida; Poales; Poaceae
Description: partial small subunit ribosomal RNA
Source: RNAcentral